AUGUCGAUCGUGCCGUACGCCGGCGGGUCGGGGAGCUUGCUGCCUGUGCCGUGCCCAGUGCUCACCGGUGAGAACUACACCGUGUGGGCAAUCAAGGUUGAGGCCAACCUCGACGCGGCUGGGCUCUGGGAGGCUGUGGUUCCGGCGGAGCACGCGGCGGCGGCGGUCAUCGCCAAGAAGGACAAGCCGGCGAGAGCGUAUUUGCACGGGGCGCUCUCCGGGGAGAUUUUGCAGCAGGUCUCGUCGAAGAAAAGGGUCGCGGUGAUAUGGGCUAACUUGAAGACGAGGUUCGUCGGCGCGGACCGCGUGCGGGCGGCGCGGCUGGCCACUCUCCGCGGAGAGUUUGAGCAGCUGCGCAUGGCAGAGGCCGAUACGUUGGAUGUGUUCGCCGGCAAGCUCGGUGGCAUGGAGGCGCGAUUCGCGGGGCUUGGGUCGAUGCUGGAGGACGCCGCGAUGGUGAAGAAACUUCUCGACUCCGUGCCGGACCGCCUGUACGCGGCAGUGGUCGGAAUCGAGCAGUUCUGCUACGUCUCCACCAUGGCCUUCGAGGAAGCGCUCGGUCGCCUGAAGGCCUUCGACGAGCGACUGUGA
RNAcentral lists this ribosomal RNA (591 nucleotides) under Triticum aestivum (bread wheat). RNAcentral describes it as "partial small subunit ribosomal RNA". The record is from RNAcentral. Lineage: Eukaryota; Viridiplantae; Streptophyta; Magnoliopsida; Poales; Poaceae.